CCUGGGCGUGGUGGCGCACGCCUGUAAUCCCAGCUACUCAGGAGGCUGAGGCACGAGAAUCGCUUGAACCCAGGAGGUGGAGGUUGCAGUGAGCCAAGAUCACGCCACUGCACUCCACCCUGGGUGAAAGAGUGAGAUUUUAUCUCAA
This is an unclassified non-coding RNA of Macaca fascicularis (crab-eating macaque), 148 nucleotides long. It matches the Rfam family "Metazoan signal recognition particle RNA". Rfam says of the family: The signal recognition particle (SRP) is a universally conserved ribonucleoprotein. The record is from Ensembl. NCBI's taxonomy places the organism in Eukaryota, Metazoa, Chordata, Mammalia, Primates, Cercopithecidae.